RNAcentral lists this unclassified non-coding RNA (343 nucleotides) under soil metagenome. RNAcentral's name for it is "partial contains 5.8S ribosomal RNA, internal transcribed spacer 2, and large subunit ribosomal RNA". The stretch from base 1 to 120 matches the Rfam family "5.8S ribosomal RNA", at positions 35 to 154 of the family's 154-position model. The record is from RNAcentral.
GAUGAAGAACGCAGCGAAAUGCGAUAAGUAAUGUGAACUGCAGAAUUCAGUGAAUCAUCGAAUCUUUGAACGCACAUUGCGCCCAUUAGUAUUCUAGUGGGCAUGCCUGUUCGAGCGUCAUUUCAACCCUUAAGCCCCUGUUGCUUAGCGUUGGGAGCCUACAGCCUGCUGUAGUUCCUCAAAGUUAGUGGCGGAGUCAGUUCACACUCUAGACGUAGUAAAAUCUUUAUCUCGCCUAUAGAUGAGCUGGCGCCUUGCCGUAAAAACCCCUAAUCUUUUACAAGGUUGACCUCGGAUCAGGUAGGAAUACCCGCUGAACUUAAGCAUAUCAAUAAGCGGAGGA